This 500-nucleotide ribosomal RNA is filed under the name uncultured bacterium. RNAcentral's name for it is "partial 16S ribosomal RNA". It matches the Rfam family "Bacterial small subunit ribosomal RNA", at positions 30 to 523 of the family's 1533-position model. The record is from RNAcentral.
AUUGAACGCUGGCGGAAUGCUUUACACAUGCAAGUCGAACGGCAGCACGGACUUCGGUCUGGUGGCGAGAGGCGAACGGGUGAGUAAUACAUCGGAACGUGCCCAGUCGUGGGGGAUAACGUAGCGAAAGCUACGCUAAUACCGCAUACGAUCUAAGGAUGAAAGCGGGGGAUCGCAAGACCUCGCGCGAUUGGAGCGGCCGAUGGCAGAUUAGGUAGUUGGUGGGGUAAAGGCUCACCAAGCCGACGAUCUGUAGCUGGUCUGAGAGGACGAACAGCCACACUGGGACUGAGACACGGCCCAGACUCCUACGGGAGGCAGCAGUGGGGAAUUUUGGACAAUGGGCGCAAGCCUGAUCCAGCCAUUCCGCGUGCAGGAUGAAGGCCCUCGGGUUGUAAACUGCUUUUGUACGGAACGAAAAGGCUCUGGUUAAUACCUGGGGCUCAUGACGGUACCGUAAGAAUAAGCACCGGCUAACUACGUGCCAGCCGCCGCGGUAA